CGGUCCAGACUCCUACGGGAGGCAGCAGUGGGGAAUCUUGCGCAAUGGGAGCAAUCCUGACGCAGCAACGCCGCGUGGGUGAUGAAGGUCUUCGGAUCGUAAAGCCCUGUCGGAGGGGAAGAUGCUUUGCAUAGCUAAUAGUGAUGCAAGGUGACGGUACCCUCAAAGGAAGCACCGGCUAACUCUGUGCCAGCAGCCGCGGUAAUACAGAGGGUGCAAGCGUUGUUCGGAAUUAUUGGGCGUAAAGGGAGUGUAGGCGGUCUGGUAAGUCUUCUGUGAAAUCUACGGGCUUAGCCUGUAACGUGCAGAGGAAACUACCAGGCUUGAGUGUCGGAGAGGAUAGGGGAAUUCCCGGUGUAGAGGUGAAAUUCGUAGAGAUCGGGAGGAACACCAGUGGCGAAGGCGCCUAUCUGGCUGACAACUGACGCUGAGACUCGAAAGCAUGGGGAGCAAACAGGAUUAGAUACCCUGGUAGUCCAUGCCGUAAACGAUGAUAGCUAGAUGUGUGAGGUAUUGACCCCUUACGUGUCGAAGUCAACACGAUAAGCUAUCCGCCUGGGGAGUACGGUCGCAAGAUUAAAACUCAAAGGAAUUGACGGGGGCCCGCACAAGCGGUGGGGCAUGUGGUUUAAUUCGACUACGCGAAGAACCUUACCUAGGCUUGACAUGUAUAGAAUCCCUUAGAAAUUUGGGAGUGCUCGCAAGAGAGCUAUAACACAGGUGCUGCAUGGCUGUCGUCAGCUCGUGUCGUGAGAUGUUGGGUUAAGUCCCGCAACGAGCGCAACCCUUGUCGUUGGUCGCCAGCAUUUAGUUGGGAACUCUAACGAGACUGCCGUGGUUAACACGGAGGAAGGUGGGGAUGACGUCAAGUCCUCAUGGCCUUUAUGCUUAGGGCUACACACGUGCUACAAUGCAUUCUACAGAGGGCUGCGAAGCCGCAAGGUGAAGCCAAUCCCACAAAAGAAUGCUCAGUUCAGAUUGGAGUCUGCAACUCGACUCCAUGAAGCUGGAAUCGCUAGUAAUCGCGGAUCAGCACGCCGCGGUGAAUACGUUCCCGGGCCUUGUACACACCGCCCGUCACACCAUGGGAGUUGGCUGCUCCAGAAGUGGCCUGGUUAACCGCAAGGAGACCAGCCCCUAAGGAGUGCUCAAUGACUGGGGUGAAGUCGUAACAAGGUAGCCGUAGGGGAACCUGCGGCUG
Molecule: ribosomal RNA, 1201 nt
Filed under: metagenome
Description: bacterial SSU rRNA
Rfam family: Bacterial small subunit ribosomal RNA
Source: RNAcentral